This 253-nucleotide ribosomal RNA is filed under the name uncultured bacterium. Its description in RNAcentral is "partial 16S ribosomal RNA". It matches the Rfam family "Bacterial small subunit ribosomal RNA", at positions 524 to 776 of the family's 1533-position model. The record is from RNAcentral.
GACAGAGGUCCCGAGCGUUAGGCGGAAUCACUGGGCUUAAAGCGUGUGUAGGCGGAGUUCUAAGUACCUUGUGAAAUCCCACGGCUUAACCGUGGAACUGCUUGGUAUACUGGUUCUCUUGGGCCAUCUAGGGGCGAGCGGAACAAACGGUGGAGCGGUGAAAUGCGUAGAUAUCGUUUGGAACGCCAAUGGUGAAAACAGCUCGCUGGGGAUGUGCCGACGCUGAGACACGAAAGCCAGGGGAGCGAACGGG